CUACGGGCUGCUGCAGUAGGGAAUAUUGGACAAUGGGCGAAAGCCUGAUCCAGCAACACCGCGUGCACGAUGACGGCCUUCGGGUUGUAAAGUGCUUUUAGAGGAGAUGAGAAAGGACAGUAUCCUCUGAAUAAGCCUCGGCGAACUACGUGCCAGCAGCCGCGGUAAAACGUAGGAGGCAAGCGUUAUCCGGAUUUAUUGGGCGUAAAGCGCGUGCAGGCGGUCUAGCAAGUUGGAUGUGAAAGCUCCCGGCUCAACUGGGAGAGGUCGUUCAAUACUGUUAGACUAGAGAAUAGGAGAGGGAGGUGGAAUUCCGGGUGUAGUGGCGAAAUGCGUAGAUAUCCGGAGGAACACCAGUGGCGAAAGCGGCCUCCUGGACUAUUUCUGACGCUAAGACGCGAAAGCUAGGGUAGCAAACGGGAUUAGAUACCCGAGUAGUC
Molecule: ribosomal RNA, 440 nt
Filed under: uncultured bacterium
Lineage: Bacteria
Description: partial 16S ribosomal RNA
Rfam family: Bacterial small subunit ribosomal RNA
Source: RNAcentral